Long non-coding RNA from Pipistrellus kuhlii (Kuhl's pipistrelle), 579 nucleotides. RefSeq lists it as uncharacterized. The transcript is spliced from 4 exons. The record is from RefSeq and is a predicted model, not a curated record. NCBI's taxonomy places the organism in Eukaryota, Metazoa, Chordata, Mammalia, Chiroptera, Vespertilionidae.
UCAAUGGCACGAAAGAAAGUCUUUUUUGCAUCAAAUUGUGACUGAUGAUGAGAAGUGUAUCUAUUUUGAGAAUCCCAAAUGCACAAAAUCAUGGGUUGAUUCAGGUCAACCAUCAACAUCAACUGGUAGGCCAAAUCGCUUCCAAAAGAGAUAAUGCUACGCAUUUGAUGGGAUCAGGAAGGUGUGGUGUAUUAUGAGCUUUUAAAACGAGGUGAAACUGUUAAUACUGAUCACUACUGACAACAAAUAAUUGAUUUGAACCACCCUUUGAUGGUGAAACGACCAGAAUGUGUCAAAAGACAAGCAAAGUAAUUUUGCUUCAUGAUGACACACCAUCACACACUUCAAAACCAGUUAAAGACACCUUAAAAGAUCUUGCCUGGGAAGUAUUAACCCACCCGCCUUAUUCAUGAGAUCUUGCUCCUUCAGAAUACCACUUGUUCUGAUGAGUGGCACAGACACUUUCUGAGCAGCACUUCAAAACAUACAAAGAAGUGAAAAAUUGGGUCUCCGAAUGGUUUGCCUCAAAACAAGAAAAAUUCUAGCCCUGACUGGUUUGGCUCUGUGGAUAGAGUGUCA